RNAcentral lists this long non-coding RNA (598 nucleotides) under Mytilus galloprovincialis (Mediterranean mussel). Lineage: Eukaryota; Metazoa; Mollusca; Bivalvia; Mytilida; Mytilidae. The record is from RNAcentral.
UAUUCACUUUUACUACCAACCAAUCUUUACCAUUCAGUGAUAACAAGCACUAUAUUUUACAUUUUAAUAUUUUAUGAUGUAUUUAAAAGAGUAGUUAUUGUUGCAAACUCCAUUAGAAAUUUGAAUUGAUAUCAGUUUUGGAAAAAGGGAAACGGGGAUGUGAAAAAAAAGGGGGGGGGUUUAAAUUUUUCUCAUUUCAGAUUUCAUAAAUAAAAAGAAAAUUUCUUCAAACAUUUUUUUGAGAGGAUUAAUAUUCAACAGCUUAGUGAAUUGCUCAAAGGCAAAAAAAAACUUAUAAGUUCAUUAGACCACAUUCGUUCUGUGUCAGAAACCUAUGCUGUGUCAUGAUCAACUAUUUAAUUUUAGAUUUAAAAAGUUUGAAGAAGAAAUCUUUAAUUGAUUUGUAAAAUCUUGACAUUUGUUUUGUGUAAAAAAAACCAUGUAAUGUCAAAAAUUUGAUCACAAUCCAAAUUCAGAGCUGUAUCACGCUUGAAUGUUUUGUCCAUACUUGCCCCAACUGUUCAGGGUUCGACCUCUGCGGUCGUAUAAAGCUGCGCCCUGCGGAGCACCUGGUUGAAAUUUUGUUAACUUUCUUAAA